CGCGAGUGAACCAGGUGUGCACAGGUAAAAUUUAUAAAAUAUACCAUAGCAAUAUAAAACUGUCCGUGAUAUACGGCCUGUGUACAAAAUCUAACAAUUUUUUUAAGAGUGAUUGUAAGAAUACGUAUAGAUUAUCCCACUGUUAUCUAAUUUCAAUUUUACUUUUAUUUAUAUUUCAGCACCUAUUCUUCCGUUUUUAUAUAUAAUUUUUGGUCCCGUUAUUUUAUAUAAGUAAUUCGUCUAGUUUUUAUCCUCACAUAUGUGACUUCAUUUUCACUCUAGAAAACAGUGGUAUAUUUUGAA
Molecule: long non-coding RNA, 303 nt
Filed under: Mytilus galloprovincialis (Mediterranean mussel)
Lineage: Eukaryota; Metazoa; Mollusca; Bivalvia; Mytilida; Mytilidae
Source: RNAcentral